This 467-nucleotide ribosomal RNA is filed under the name uncultured bacterium. Its description in RNAcentral is "partial 16S ribosomal RNA". It matches the Rfam family "Bacterial small subunit ribosomal RNA", at positions 28 to 507 of the family's 1533-position model. The record is from RNAcentral.
GACGAACGCUGGCGGCGUGCUUAACACAUGCAAGUCGAACGGAAAGGCUCCAGCUUGCUGGAGUACUCGAGUGGCGAACGGGUGAGUAACACGUGGGUAAUCUGCCCUGCACUCUGGGAUAAGCCUGGGAAACUGGGUCUAAUACUGGAUAUGACCUUUCUCCUUAUGGGGUUUGGUGGAAAGUUUUUCGGUGUAGGAUGAGCCCGCGGCCUAUCAGCUUGUUGGUGGGGUGAUGGCCUACCAAGGCGACGACGGGUAGCCGGCCUGGGAGGGGGAUCGGCCACAAUGGGACUGAGAUACGGCCCAGACUCCUACGGGAGGCAGCAGUGGGGAACAUUGCACAAUGGGAGGAAGCCUGAUGCAGAGACGCCGGGUUAGGGAUGACGGCCUUCGGGUUGUAAACCUCUUUCAGCAGGGACGAAGCGUAAGUGACGGUACCUGCAGAAGAAGCACCGGCUAACUAUGUG